AGAACGAACGCUGGCGGCAGGCUUAACACAUGCAAGUCGAACGCCCCGCAAGGGGAGUGGCAGACGGGUGAGUAACGCGUGGGAAUCUACCUGGUUCUACGGAAUAACUGAGGGAAACUUCAGCUAAUACCGGAUGUGCCCUUCGGGGGAAAGAUUUAUCGCCAUUGGAGCGGCCCGCGUCUGAUUAGCUAGUUGGUGGGGUAAAGGCCCACCAAGGCGACGAUCAGUAGCUGGUCUGAGAGGAUGAUCAGCCACACUGGGACUGAGACACGGCCCAGACUCCUACGGGAGGCAGCAGUAGGGAAUCUUGCGCAAUGGGCGAAAGCCUGACGCAGCCAUGCCGCGUGAAUGAUGAAGGUCUUAGGAUUGUAAAAUUCUUUCAGCGGGGACAUAAUGACGGUACCGCAGAAGAACGCCCGGCUAACUUCGUGCCAGCAGCCGC
This 442-nucleotide ribosomal RNA is filed under the name uncultured bacterium. RNAcentral's name for it is "SSU rRNA". It matches the Rfam family "Bacterial small subunit ribosomal RNA", at positions 26 to 518 of the family's 1533-position model. The record is from RNAcentral.